This 252-nucleotide ribosomal RNA is filed under the name uncultured bacterium. RNAcentral describes it as "partial 16S ribosomal RNA". It matches the Rfam family "Bacterial small subunit ribosomal RNA", at positions 524 to 776 of the family's 1533-position model. The record is from RNAcentral.
UACGGAGGAUGCGAGCGUUAUCCGGAUUUAUUGGGUUUAAAGGGUGCGUAGGCGGGAUGCCAAGUCAGCGGUAAAAAUGCGGUGCUCAACGCCGUCGAGCCGUUGAAACUGGCGUUCUUAAGUGGGCGAGAAGUAUGCGGAAUGCGUGGUGUAGCGGUGAAAUGCAUAGAUAUCACGCAGAACUCCGAUUGCGAAGGCAGCAUACCGGCGCCCUACUGACGCUGAGGCACGAAAGCGUGGGUAUCGAACAGG